GCCAUUUGAGGUGCACAAUCCUACAACUGAACUUUCCACUGCAAGUCAUGAAUUAUGUUUGUGGGAUAAGAUAAUUCAAUUAGAAAAUCAAGCCCAAACUCUUGAGUCUCCUACACAGCCAUCUCCAACGAUCCUAGAACCUACUGAAGUAAACACAAACCUGACAUUCAGCACUGCCACUACAUCCAAUUCGCCUGAAGUCGCUACCACUGAACCUCCUGAACACACAUUACAAGUGGCUAAUACUGUGAGAGUGCAAACCCAGGAACCAAGCAGAGCAGACGCCUCCACCUCCACAAACAGAUCAAAUAACUCUGAAAAUGUGCUAGCUGAUAGGGAGACAGACCAGGUGGACGACAUGACCAGCUUCCUUAAUUUCAUCUCACAUGUACCAGUUGCUCCCAUUUUGCACACACCACCGAGAGUAAAUCCCAUCCAGCAAGAAAGCCAUGGAAACAUUCCAGCUCCUAGCCACAGGAAGAGCUCACGCCUAGCAGACAAAGCUAAGCUACACUCAGGCAAAGAUAGCAUUCAGCUUGCACAGAGUAUUCUGAUUAGCAAAUUGGGGGAAUUAUCACCAAAAGCACCGCACCAAGAUAAACCUGACUUUGAUAAUUUUACGCAGCAUCUCCCGAAGCCUUUGACAAGCAUGAAGAUGGCUGCGAUCCAGACUCUGGUGGAGCAAGGAAACAAGCCUAGGAGCAAGAAGAAAGGCAAGGUGACACCGGUGCCUGUAGAGACAAUGGAGGCAUGACCAUCGCCUCCCAGUCUCGACCUCCCAGUCUCUUAGUCGUUAUAUUUUUAUUAGCAUGUUUAAAUUGAAAACUCAGAACUUCCCUCGGUGUGUAAUUUUAAUGGGGUCCUGCGGCUUCAGCGGUUUUUGGGUCACGACGG
This 894-nucleotide long non-coding RNA is filed under the name Setaria italica (foxtail millet). RNAcentral's name for it is "long non-coding RNA (SITA_LNC006566)". Lineage: Eukaryota; Viridiplantae; Streptophyta; Magnoliopsida; Poales; Poaceae. The record is from RNAcentral.